This 301-nucleotide ribosomal RNA is filed under the name uncultured bacterium. Its description in RNAcentral is "partial 16S ribosomal RNA". It matches the Rfam family "Bacterial small subunit ribosomal RNA", at positions 509 to 809 of the family's 1533-position model. The record is from RNAcentral.
CAGUCGCCACGGUAAUACGAAGGGGGCUAGCGUUGUUCGGAUUUACUGGGCGUAAAGGGCGCGUAGGCGGGCGAUUAAGUCAGGGGUGAAAUCCCAAGGCUCAACCUUGGAACUGCCUUUGAUACUGAUUGUCUUGAGUUCGAGAGAGGUAAGUGGAACUGCGAGUGUAGAGGUGAAAUUCGUAGAUAUUCGCAAGAACACCAGUGGCGAAGGCGGCUUACUGGCUCGAUACUGACGCUGAGGCGCGAAAGCGUGGGGAGCAAACAGGAUUAGAUACCCCCGUAGUCCCUGUCUCUUAUAA